AGGGAGACAAGUGCAAAGACUUAAGAACACCCCAUUGUUUGGGCGUCUGUAACAUAAGUCAAACACCUUACAAAGGGAGGACAUAUUGCACAAUAACCUAUAGCAAAACAGUGUAAGACAACAUUCAAACGUUUGGUAAAACUAAACCAGAUUCUGAGGCCGAACAAAAGACACUUUCCAUAAGAUAUUGCCUAAAUUCAGUGCUGGGACAGGUAGCUACUUCCAGACAGGAGGCGCAAACGCACCACCAGGCAGACGGGAAAGGUUACUACGGGAAAUGCCCAUGUAGCGUCACCAACUUGCGUGAAGCAGCAUUGGAGUUGUAGUUUUCUAAUAGCCACCAUUGCUACUGUAAACACCCGGAACUUUAAAUUGGAUAAACAAACAGCUGGUGUCUAUCUGCAACGUAAAACAACAGGGAACGCCAUUUGCCCGAGCUACCUCAAAAGUGUAUCCUACAUCCUCAUCAGCAGGUCACCACCCUGUGUGUUCUCCAUCCCUCCUCAUCUGGCAUUCAGGCAUGCUACAAUGACCCAGUGAUGCUGUGUGACAGGCCAGGCAGGGCACUGGCUGUUUGUGUCAAUCCAGAUCAAUCACUCCCUCUUCUGGACGGACAACGUCAUCAACAGGAAGAAAGGUCACAGGGUGUAUUCAAGCCAGGCCUGAUGUUGUGAGCAGGGAGGUCAGCGGAGCAAGUGAACACCCUUGACUGACUGAGCUUUAUCUUGAAUGGACACAGCUGGCAUUUGAGUAAAAAAAAUAAAAAUGUAUUUGAUUGUUAGAAGAAGUAAUUUCUUCCACCUUGAAAUAUAUUUUUUUGAAUCUCCUGUGACUGGGCGUAUACAAAAAGCGUUAAGACUGUUUGUCGUAUUGAUUGAUAUUCCAGUGGGCAUGAUAAGCCCUCAGUUGCCCCACAUCUGACAGGGUCCCUAUUCUCUAAUGAUACGUGUAAAUAUGGCCCACCGCUUACACUUCUAUAAGAGAGCAGGAAGAAACAACACAAUAGCUAAAAUACAACCCAUUUGAGGAAAAAACAACAAGAAACAGCACUUAACAGCCCAGAAUGCACUGCACCCGAGGGAACCACCUCAAUUACU
Molecule: long non-coding RNA, 1097 nt
Organism: Eleginops maclovinus (Patagonian blennie)
Lineage: Eukaryota; Metazoa; Chordata; Actinopteri; Perciformes; Eleginopidae
Exons: 3
Source: RefSeq, a predicted model, not a curated record